Molecule: ribosomal RNA, 1458 nt
Filed under: Triticum aestivum (bread wheat)
Lineage: Eukaryota; Viridiplantae; Streptophyta; Magnoliopsida; Poales; Poaceae
Description: partial small subunit ribosomal RNA
Source: RNAcentral
AUGGCGGGCGUGGCUGUGGCGCCGCGGCUGGUGCUUCUGCUGCUGCUGGCCGUCGCCGGGCUUCCGGCGGCCGUGGGGCUCGGGGUGAACUGGGGCACGAUGGCGUCGCACCAGCUGCCGCCCAGCACCGUGGUGCGGAUGCUGCAGGACAAUGGCAUCAAGAAGGUGAAGCUGUUCGACGCGGACGCGGAGCCGCUGGGCGCGCUCGCCGGCUCCGGCAUCGAGGUCAUGGUGGCCAUCCCCAACAACAUGCUCGACAUGAUGACCGACUACGACACCGCCAGGGAGUGGGUGCACAAGAACGUCAGCGCCUACAACUUCGGCGGCGGCGUCAACAUCCGAUAUGUUGCCGUCGGGAAUGAGCCGUUUCUGUCGUCCCUGAAUGGCACCUUCCUGAAUGUCACGCUCCCGGCCCUGCAGAACAUCCAGAAGGCCCUUGACGAGGCCGGCGUUGGCGACACCGUCAAGGCCACCGUGCCGCUGAACGCCGACGUGUACCAGUCCCCCAAGGACAACCAGGUGCCGUCGGCCGGGCGGUUCCGGCCGGAGAUCUCCGGCCUCAUGACGGAGAUCGUGCAGUUCCUCAACCAGAGCGGCGCGCCCUUCACGGUCAACAUCUACCCGUACCUCAGCCUGUACGGCAACGACGACUUCCCGCUAGACUUCGCCUUCUUCGACGGCGCCAGCAGCCCCGUGGUCGACGGCAACAUCCAGUACACCAACGUGUUCGACGCCAACUUCGACACGCUCGUGUCGGCGCUCACAGCGGCCGGCGUAGGCGGCCUGCCGGUGAUCGUCGGUGAGGUCGGCUGGCCGACCGACGGCGAAAAGCACGCCACGGCCGCCUACGCGCAGCGGUUCUACACGGGCCUGUUCCGGAAGCUGGCGGGCAACGCCGGCACACCUCUGCGGCCCAACCAGUACAUCGAGAUCUACCUCUUCAGCCUCAUCGACGAGGACGUCAAGAGCGUGGAUCCGGGCUACUUCGAGCGGCACUGGGGCGUGAUGCGGUACGAUGGCCAGCCCAAGUACGCCAUGGACCCGACCGGGCAGGGCCGGAACACGGCGCUGGUGGGGGCCCGAGGCGUGGAGUACCUCCCACGGGUGUGGUGCGUGCUCAACGCCAACGCGGCCAACAUGAGCAAGCUCGCGGACAGCGUGGGCUACGCGUGCACCAACGCCGACUGCACCUCGCUCAGCCUCGGGUCCACGUGCAACGGCAUGGACGCCGCGGGGAACGCCUCCUACGCCUUCAAUGCCUACUUCCAGGUGCAGGACCAGGACGAGGUGGCGUGCGGCUUCGACGGGCUCGCCGUGAGCACGCGCCAGGACCCCUCCACGGGCACCUGCAACUUCACCAUACAACUCGAGACCACCUCCGCGGGGGGACGGCCGACGGUACUCUUGACGACGGCCCUGCUCGCCUUGGUUCUUGCGGCCAUGGUGACCAUGCUCUGA